ACACUGACGUCGCGACGCAUAUCAAUAAGCGGAGGAAAAGAGACUAACAAGGAUUCCCUUAGUAACGGCGAGUGAAGCGGGAAGAGCUCAAAUUUGAAAUCUUCAAGGGUUCUACCUUUACGAAUUGUAGUUUAUAGAAGUGUUUUCUGUUAGUGGAGUUCGGCUAAAAGUUCUUUGGAAUAGGACAUCAUAGAGGGUGAGAAUCCCGUAUUUGAUCCUUUACUUCAGCUUUGUGAUACACUUUCAAAGAGUCGGAUUGUUUGGGAAUGCAGUCCAAAAUGGGUGGUAAAUUUCAUCUAAAGCUAAAUAUUGGCGAGAGACCGAUAGCGAACAAGUACCGUGAGGGAAAGAUGAAAAGAACUUUGAAAAGAGAGUUAAACAGUACGUGAAAUUGUCAAAAGGGAAGCGUUUGACACCAGUGUUGUUUUUCUGAAAAUCAAUUAAAGAACUGUUUAUGCUAAGUUGUUUAGACUUUAUCAGCUAUCUGUUUAGUUUUGAGCUUUUCUUUAAUGCACUUUUCAGUUAACAAGUCAACAUCAAUUUCUUUUGCUGUAAAAAAGCUUGAGGAAGGUGGCUUGAGAUUCGUCUUAAGUGUUUAUAACCUCUUGCCUAUGCAGUCGGAGAGACUGAGGUCUGCAGCGUAGAUCCUUCGGGGCUAAAUGCAGUUUGUGCUAAGUUAUAGCAUUUUAUAGACAACUUGUUGACUAUGAUUUGUCUUGUAGCUUACUCAGCUUAUGUUAUUUUACCUACGCUUAGGAUGUUGAUGUGAUACUGCGAGC
RNAcentral lists this ribosomal RNA (779 nucleotides) under uncultured Neocallimastigales. Its description in RNAcentral is "partial large subunit ribosomal RNA". It matches the Rfam family "Eukaryotic large subunit ribosomal RNA", at positions 25 to 645 of the family's 3401-position model. The record is from RNAcentral. Lineage: Eukaryota; Fungi; Neocallimastigomycota; Neocallimastigomycetes; Neocallimastigales.